GAUGAAGAACGUAGCGAAAUGCGAUAAGUAAUGUGAAUUGCAGAAUUCAGUGAAUCAUCGAAUCUUUGAACGCACAUUGCGCCCCUUGGUAUUCCGGGGGGCAUGCCUGUUCGAGCGUCAUUUCAACCCUCAAGCCCUGCUUGGUAUUGGGCACCGUCCUUUGCGGGCGCGCCUCAAAGACCUCGGCGGUGGCGUCUUGCCUCAAGCGUAGUAGAAUACACCUCGCUUCGGAGCGUAAGGCGUCGCCCGCCGGACGAACCUUCUGAACUUUUCUCAAGGUUGACCUCGGAUCAGGUAGGGAUACCCGCUGAACUUAAGCAUAUCAAUAAGCGGAGGA
Molecule: unclassified non-coding RNA, 337 nt
Filed under: soil metagenome
Description: partial contains 5.8S ribosomal RNA, internal transcribed spacer 2, and large subunit ribosomal RNA
Rfam family: 5.8S ribosomal RNA (bases 1-120)
Source: RNAcentral